CUUUUCUUCAUUACAGGGCUCCUCUGAGAAUUCCAUUUCUAUAACACUUGUCAUUUACACCUCAGAAUCUCAGAAGAUGAAGACACACAUUAUCACUCUGUCUAUAAUACAUUUAAUACUGGACUAAACUCGUGUUCAUUACUGAGCAGAAUUCCUUCAAGAUGAGGACACAAAUUGUUAUCAUUCUGACUGUGUUACAUUUAAUACUGGGACAGCCGCAAAAUUACGAAAUUCAUCAAAGUCCUUCUGACCUGCUGGGUUUUCAGGGCGAAAACUCUGAACUUCAAUGCAAACACAGUGUUUCAUCACUUUAUAUGAUACUGUGGUAUCGACAAAGCCUUAAUGAUACUUCCAUGCAACUUAUUGCAUAUGUACGCUAUAAAAAUCCAAAUGUUGAAACUCCUUACUUAAGUCACUUUAACGUAUCUGGAGAUGGAGCAAAGCACUCUACACUCCAUCUCCUUAAACUGAGUGCAGCUGAACACACUGCUGUGUAUUACUGUGCAG
Molecule: long non-coding RNA, 507 nt
Organism: Silurus meridionalis
Lineage: Eukaryota; Metazoa; Chordata; Actinopteri; Siluriformes; Siluridae
Exons: 3
Source: RefSeq, a predicted model, not a curated record